Eriocheir sinensis (Chinese mitten crab) is the source of this 841-nucleotide long non-coding RNA. RefSeq lists it as uncharacterized. The transcript is spliced from 5 exons. Lineage: Eukaryota; Metazoa; Arthropoda; Malacostraca; Decapoda; Varunidae. The record is from RefSeq and is a predicted model, not a curated record.
GAUAAGUGGCUUGCUGCUUGCGGAGUGGACGCCGACCCCUGCCAGAACGGCGGGUUUUAUGGAGAAGGCUGCGCUUGUGUGUGUCCCUCGGGCACCUCAGGGGCCAACUGUGAGACGGUGACGGGAGACUACUAAGACGAGUUGACGAAUUCCUGCACUGAGAAAGUAACUCAGGAAGGCGCCCUCACCUCGCCGGGCUAUCCAAGCAACUACCCAAAGAUCCAGUGCGUCAAGUGGAUUGUAGCUCCCGCAUGCCACGUGUCCAGAGUGACCUUCUCAGACUUUUACCUGUACGGAGAGAAUCCCUACUGCGGAUCGACUACAGAGACGUGCUGCUACUUUGAUGGCCUGGAGAUCAGAACCGACAACUUGUACGACGGUGAAGUGUAUUGUGGCACGGACAUCACUGCAGGCCAGACCUUCACUGGAACCGGUCAAGAGAUGGUUUUAUACUUCAGGGCGAUAAGUAAUAAUAUUCGCAGGGUAUGGUCUGCGAAUUGUGCCGCAACCGGGAUGCACAACCACCACUGCAGAAACCUCCACCACCACCACCACCAUAGUAACAACAACCACCACUACAGAACCUACCACCACCACCACCACAGCAACAACCACCACUACAGAACCCACCACCACCACCACCACAGCAACAACCACCACUACAGAACCCACCACCACCACUACAGAACCCACCACAACCACAGCAACAACCACCACCACCACCACCAGCCCACCACCACCUAGAUGUUUAAUUCAGGCUGUCAACGGAGUGUUCUACUGGUCCUCCCCCGGCUUCGGCAUCACCAACUACCCGAAUAACUUUAACUGCGCAGUGCGAGGA